CAGUAGCCGCGGUAAUACGGAGGGAGCUAGCGUUGUUCGGAAUUACUGGGCGUAAAGCGCACGUAGGCGGUUAUUCAAGUCAGAGGUGAAAGCCCGGGGCUCAACCCCGGAACUGCCUUUGAAACUAGAUGACUAGAAUCUUGGAGAGGUCAGUGGAAUUCCGAGUGUAGAGGUGAAAUUCGUAGACAUUCGGAAGAACACCAGUGGCGAAGGCGACUGACUGGACAAGUAUUGACGCUGAGGUGCGAAAGCGUGGGGAGCAAACAGGAUUAGAUACCCGAGUAGUCCCUGUCUCUUAUAC
RNAcentral lists this ribosomal RNA (301 nucleotides) under uncultured bacterium. RNAcentral's name for it is "partial 16S ribosomal RNA". It matches the Rfam family "Bacterial small subunit ribosomal RNA", at positions 509 to 807 of the family's 1533-position model. The record is from RNAcentral.